Molecule: unclassified non-coding RNA, 212 nt
Filed under: plant metagenome
Description: partial contains small subunit ribosomal RNA, internal transcribed spacer 1, and 5.8S ribosomal RNA
Source: RNAcentral
UUUCCGUAGGUGAACCUGCGGAAGGAUCAUUAAAAAUGAAGCCGGGAAACCGGUCCUUCUAACCCUUGAUUAUCUUAAUUUGUUGCUUUGGUGGGCCGCGCAAGCACCGGCUUCGGCUGGAUCGUGCCCGCCAGAGGACACAACUCUGUAUCAAAUGUCGACUGAGUACUAUAAAAUAGUUAAAACUUUCAACAACGGAUCUCUUGGUUCUG